This 447-nucleotide ribosomal RNA is filed under the name Corynebacterium matruchotii. RNAcentral's name for it is "bacterial SSU rRNA". It matches the Rfam family "Bacterial small subunit ribosomal RNA", at positions 28 to 466 of the family's 1533-position model. Lineage: Bacteria; Bacillati; Actinomycetota; Actinomycetes; Mycobacteriales; Corynebacteriaceae. The record is from RNAcentral.
GACGAACGCUGGCGGCGUGCUUAACACAUGCAAGUCGAACGGAAAGGCCCCCACUUUUUUGGUGGGGGUGCUCGAGUGGCGAACGGGUGAGUAACACGUGGGUGAUCUGCCCUGUACUUCGGGAUAAGCUUGGGAAACUGGGUCUAAUACCGGAUAGGACCAUGGUUUAGUGUCUCAUGGUGGAAAGAUUAUUGUUUUGGUGCAGGAUGAGCUCGCGGCCUAUCAGCUUGUUGGUGGGGUAAUGGCCUACCAAGGCGUCGACGGGUAGCCGGCCUGAGAGGGUGGACGGCCACAUUGGGACUGAGAUACGGCCCAGACUCCUACGGGGGCAGCAGUGGGGAAUAUUGCACAAUGGGCGCAAGCCUGAUGCAGCGACGCCGCGUGGGGGAUGACGGCCUUCGGGUUGUAAACUCCUUUCGUUAGGGACGAAGCCGCACCUGUUUUGGG